GGUCCUACGGGGCGCAGCAGUAGGGAAUUUUCGUCAAUGGGCGCAAGCCUGUACGAGCAAUGCCGCGUGAACGAGGAAGGUCUUCGGAUCGUAAAGUUCUGUUGAAGGGGAAAAAGAGCGGAGAGAGGAAAUGGUCUCCGAUUGAUAUUACCCUUCGAGGAAGUCACGGCUAACUACGUGCCAGCAGCCGCGGUAAUACGUAGGGAGCAAGCGUUAUCCGGAAUUAUUGGGUGUAAAGGGUGCGUAGACGGGAGUCUAAGUUAGUUGUGAAAUCCCUCGGCUCAACUGAGGAACUGCAACUAAAA
Molecule: ribosomal RNA, 305 nt
Filed under: uncultured bacterium
Lineage: Bacteria
Description: bacterial SSU rRNA
Rfam family: Bacterial small subunit ribosomal RNA
Source: RNAcentral